AAUAUUGCGCAAUGGAGGGAACUCUGAUGCAGCGACGCCGCGUGAGUGAUGAAGGCCUUCGGGUCGUAAAACUCUGUCCUAAGGGACGAUAAUGACGGUACCUUAGGAGGAAGCCCCGGCUAACUACGUGCCAGCAGCCGCGGUAAUACGUAGGGGGCAAGCGUUGUCCGGAAUUAUUGGGCGUAAAGGGUGCGUAGGCGGCCUUUUAAGUCAGAUGUGAAAGGUCACGGCUCAACCGUGGUAAGCAUUUGAAACUGGAAGGCUUGAGUUAAGGAGAGGAAAGUGGAAUUCCUAGCGUAGCGGUGAAAUGCGUAGAUAUUAGGAGGAAUACCAGUGGCGAAGGCGACUUUCUGGCCUUUAACUGACGCUGAGGCACGAAAGCGUGGGGAGCAAACA
RNAcentral lists this ribosomal RNA (396 nucleotides) under uncultured bacterium. RNAcentral's name for it is "partial 16S ribosomal RNA". It matches the Rfam family "Bacterial small subunit ribosomal RNA", at positions 360 to 774 of the family's 1533-position model. The record is from RNAcentral.